Molecule: long non-coding RNA, 348 nt
Organism: Pelmatolapia mariae (spotted tilapia)
Lineage: Eukaryota; Metazoa; Chordata; Actinopteri; Cichliformes; Cichlidae
Exons: 3
Source: RefSeq, a predicted model, not a curated record
CAAAUCAGUUUCUGAAAAAUGUUCUGUUUUUUCUCCCUCUGCUUGCUUCUUACUGUCUUUGAGGCUCGGGACCAGCACUCCUGCUGUUGGACAGAAAGACAUCAACUCAGUGACUUGAGAUAUGACUGCACUGUGCUGUUGCUGUGACUCCAGUUAAUUCUACAAGACAUGCUGUGACACCAGGAGAGAUGAGUCCUCCAUCACAGAUGGUGUGGUCAGUGAAGGUGGUCACCUGCAGGUUCAAGCUCAUUGCAUCUCCAACCCACAUCCACUGCCACUGUGCUUAAGGGAAGUUAAAGACUUUCUUCUGCACCUACAUUUGAAUCACCUCAAUCCAUGACAGUCAUU